Misgurnus anguillicaudatus (oriental weatherfish) is the source of this 947-nucleotide non-coding RNA. The record is from RefSeq and is a predicted model, not a curated record. Lineage: Eukaryota; Metazoa; Chordata; Actinopteri; Cypriniformes; Cobitidae.
UGACCCGUCGCCAUGGACACAAGGGGUCGGAUAUUUAAAGUUAAAUAUUUUUAACUUACGCGUGAAAUGGUUAAUUUUAAAAAUAUAUAUAUUCUAAGUAAACAACAACAGCCCAAGUUUAGUAAACAUUUUUUUAUUGAAACUAUAAAUAAAUAUUCUGCAUCCAUUAGGUGUGCCACUGUGGGUGGCUCCCGCACACCCGUGGCUACGCCCCUUCCGUGACCCAAAUCUCGUUCGCACAUCAUCGCGAUGUUUAUCAUCAAUUUUCAAACAUCGCCAGUCGCCACAUCUUUUUUCUUCACAUACAUCUCAUACUCCUCCAUCUACACUCUUCACAACAUUUAAACCAACGGCUCUUUUAACAGCCAUCACUUGCAAAAGCUCUCCUACUCACUCACUCACUCACUCUCCAACUCACUCAAGGUGCGUUCCAUUCGACCGUAAGUCGACCAUCGACCAUCAAGAGAUUAGCCUAUCCCCUGUAUGUCAUUGAUGCACUACUUCAAAGAUGUGAGAAAAAGAACAUACACCUGCGAGUAGUCUGUUACAUUGACUGUGUUGCUGCCUCACAUUUGCAGAUAAGUACCCUUUUUUUGUGUAAAACUGAAUUAUUGUUUUUAAGAAAAAACCUUUAACUUAUUUAUGUCAUACUAUGUUCAAUCAGAAAUCAGGGGAGGGCAUAUCACACAACAUUGCCUUGGCCGUACCAGCAUUUCAUGUUUAUGGACACAAAUUGCCCUGCCAGAUCAAGUACAGUACCAGAUGGCUUGAUGGGUUUGGGCUCACAGACCGGGAAGGAAUGAAAAGGCUGUGGUCUUUCCUCCAAAGAUUUGCCAGAGUCACAAAGGAGAUGACUCCAUCUCAUCGCCUUGACCUACUGACUGAUGCCCUUUUGCAUUAGGGAUGGAGGAAAUCAACUGACCUAGGUGUGUCUACUGCUGUAUAAC